RNAcentral lists this long non-coding RNA (1432 nucleotides) under Helianthus annuus (common sunflower). Its description in RNAcentral is "hypothetical non coding rna". The record is from RNAcentral. Lineage: Eukaryota; Viridiplantae; Streptophyta; Magnoliopsida; Asterales; Asteraceae.
UGGUCGAGACUUCCAGAGGAGCCAGGGAGCUCUCAUGUUCAAACCCUAACUAGUCUAAAUUCAAGCAAUUGGAAGGCCAAAUCACACCCAAAUUGAAAUUCAAGCACGGAUUAGUGAUCACCUCAGUGAAGUGAUCAUAAGUUUGACGCUAAACGAGCUAGGUGGAGGCUUGGGGAAGAAGCGGGUCAAACGGUUCGAGUCCGCGGAAAAGAGCAUAGCCGGAUGAAAGGAUAAAAUGGUUUAUGAAUUAGCAAUGUUAUGGAUUAGCAUAUUAUGGAGGCAAUGUAUUGAAACGGGUCAAUAGGUUGACCCGAGCCAGGUACGUAUAAAUAUGAUUGUGGUUAAACAUACAUUUUUGGCCAAUAAGUAGCGAAAGUCCUUCGUCAUAAAAUGGGGGACUAAAUUUGACCAAAAAAACCUUUGAUGGGAAAACCGGACAAACGACCCUUAGAGAUUGUUUAGGAAUUUGAAUUAUGAUUAUGUAAUCCGUAGAUUGAAUAAAAGUUAUAGGGAUACACAUUUGUGGAUCAAAUGCCUAAAAAUGGGUCAUUUGCGUAAAAUGACCAACCAAAGGGUAAGUUUGGGAUAAUUAAUUAGUUAUGCCAAAUCCACCACAAAAAAUAGUUGUGGUGGAAUAUAAGUAAAUAUUUUAGAUGUGGAAUUACGAAGUGUGAAAAGAAAAGAGCUAGUUUUAGACUAAAUUGCUUAAAUCCCCUAAACGGUCAAAACGGAUCUAUGCGUAUAGCUUGCGUACUAGUUGCGUAAUUCAUAAGAAUUAUGAACCCGAGCUAAAGAUUUUGUGUUAAAUGCACUGGAGCAUGUAUUUUGAUUAGUUAGAAACAAGUUAGUGGUUUUAAACUUAAACGGGUCAAAAGUCUUAGUAAAUCAACUUCAAACCGAGGGCUUGAAAUCCUAUAUUUUGAGAAGUUAGAUAUCAGGUUUUAACUCCAUAAGAUGGAGAAUUAAAUUACGAUCGCGUAGGAAAAAGAAUCACGCGAAUCGGAUGAGUAGAACAAAAGUUAUGAAGUUUUAAAGUUAGGAUUUUGGUUUAAGUUUGAGUUGGGCAAGUGCAGCAACAAUUUGAGAAACAUUCUGUCGAUUUGGGGGUCUCGCGUUGCACGACAGGUGGGGGUCACCAUCGUCGCGGCACGCGACACUAGUCUCGGCACGCGACCAAACAUCAAAAUCCCGUCACGCGGCGCGACAGGUAAACGUUAGUAAGCUUACGGAUGAAGAUCAAGCUUGUUGAAGGACCAAACACAAUCAAGAUGCAAGCUCCUGCACGUUGUUUCGUCGUCAGUUUUAAACGACGAACUCACAUACAUUAUGUUGUAUUAUUAUUACAUUGUAAAAGUUUUAAAUAAACCCGUAUUUUCAUAAGUAUGUGUAAUUGUUCAUACACAUUUUUAGUUUAAAUUUACACGAAAAUCGU